Molecule: long non-coding RNA, 1454 nt
Filed under: Bemisia tabaci
Lineage: Eukaryota; Metazoa; Arthropoda; Insecta; Hemiptera; Aleyrodidae
Description: lncRNA ENSSSA2NGG007275
Source: RNAcentral
UCUAAGAGUCUGGACUCUAGAUCCAAGCGACUUUUUUUCCAGUGUAAGCAUGACAAGAGGUCUUGCCGAAUAUUUACGGCCAAUUUUCUCCUCUCAUUUCAGGGAUGCGUGCCUUAUACCUUGCCUGCAUGCGAUCAUACACCUUGGUAUAAGACAGAAGGCCUUAAUAAAAAAAUGUGAGUCCUUGCAAGGGGAUUAUCUUCGACCACGAUUGUCCCAAGACGUGUACGAACGCGAAGUACAAAACACCUAUUGACAAAGAUCGAAUUCGACCGACAACGUUUUACCAUAUGUUAAAGAGCGAGUUUUAUGUACGAAACGAGAUCAUGAAUUACGGCCCUGUAAUGGCAAGAGUCUAUUUAUUCGAUGAUUUUCUGGAACAACCCGUUGGAAUUUGGGAAGAAAAACCAGGCCGGCAAAGAGUCGGUUGGCUCAAGUACUUCAAAAUCAUUGGAUGGGGAACAGAGAACGGGAUCAAAUAUUGGCUUUGCGUGCACACGUGGGAUACCUGGGGUGACAAGAUUUUCAAAUUCCCGCGGGUGAAAAUUUAGACGGCGUAGAGUCCUUCGUCUCCUGUGCCGUAUUUGAGGAUCUUGAUUGAUGCAACACACCGUCGCACCAUCACCAUGAUAAACAUUUGGUGCAAAGCUCCCAAUUCUGAAACUUUAACCAUCGACAUCAUGCUAAUACUGGAUUGAUAUCAAAAUCUCGAAUUUCAGAAUUUUUAAUCCAAACUUUCCGUCAAAAGUAGACAUAUUUAGUGUGACGUCACAUCUCGAUAUAGUUUCAAUACCUCGAUGGUCGGAACGUGCCCCAACAACAAACAUAACCACCAAAGUGAAUAUUUGAAGGAAACUACAUGGAAAAUAGGCGGGGGCGGAGGGGGUGUUUGAUAACUUAAGUAUGAUGGUAGAGGCAUGUGAUGUGCUUUCGUAAUUCUACAGGCCUACGGAUUAUUUUUUUGGUAUUCGGCUAGAUUCAGCAUUCUUUCGUCAGUUGCUCGUUUUGGAGGUUAUUUAUGUCCGUAGGUUGAGCACAUUCCGACUUUCGAGGUAUCAAAACGUUAAUAUCGGCCCGUGACGUUACCACUAAAUACGUCUACAACGGACAUUGGAGCAUGAACCAACACGGUGUCUAACCCCCAUUUAUUAUCUGGUUUUUCAGACUUUACUAUGGUUUCAUAGAUGUAUGUAUGCUUUUUUUACCUGUGCCUACCUAUUGAUAAUUAAUGUUUCUGUACCUUCUGCGGGUAAAUUGAAUUCUUAUUCUUGGCGGCUUAUAUUGAUACCAAGAUUUGUAUUUGCUGUGAAUUUAUAAUUAUUUUUUUCGAUUCUUUAUGUGAAACUAUAAUACACGAUUUUGUCAUAAUAUGAAAUUGAGGGUAUCAUUAUUUUCUCUCCUUUCUUUCCUGGUGCGUUUCAAUCAAUACCUUGCAAUGACUUUAGGCUAAAAAC